UCUCAUCCUAGCCAACCCCAACCAAACCCACCACAAACCAGCGCGAUGGUGAAGCCUCUUCCAGAUUACAAACGACUAUACCCGUGGGCCUCCGCAACCCUGCUGGGUGAGACUUCAUCCGUCAACUCCGAUCGUGACAUCCUUCGCCUCAAGAAAGGUGAUAAGGAAAACCUCUCUUUCAGUAAAGAGCACGAUGACAAAGUAGUUG
This 208-nucleotide long non-coding RNA is filed under the name Phaseolus vulgaris (common bean). Its description in RNAcentral is "long non-coding RNA (PVUL_LNC002257)". Lineage: Eukaryota; Viridiplantae; Streptophyta; Magnoliopsida; Fabales; Fabaceae. The record is from RNAcentral.